RNAcentral lists this ribosomal RNA (701 nucleotides) under Sphaerolaimus maeoticus. RNAcentral describes it as "SSU rRNA". It matches the Rfam family "Eukaryotic small subunit ribosomal RNA", at positions 258 to 966 of the family's 1831-position model. Lineage: Eukaryota; Metazoa; Nematoda; Chromadorea; Monhysterida; Sphaerolaimidae. The record is from RNAcentral.
AUAACUGAGCGGAUCGCACUGGUCCUAGUACCGGCGACAUAUCCUUCAAGUGUCUGCCUUAUCAACUUUCGAUGGUAGUUUAUAUGCCUACCAUGGUUGUAACGGGUAACGGAAAAUCAGGGUUUGAUUCCGGAGAGGGCGCCUGAGAAAUGGCGACCACUUCUAAGGAAGGCAGCAGGCGCGUAACUUACCCACUCUCAGAUCGAGGAGGUAGUGACGAAAAAUAUCGAGCUGGCGGUCAUUCGACUGCCAGCAUCGGAAUGAGAACAAUAUAAACGUGUUAUCGAGUAACUAGCAGAGGGCAAGUCUGGUGCCAGCAGCCGCGGUAAUYCCAGCUCUGCAAGUGUAUAUCAAUGUUGCUGCGGUUAAAAAGCUCGUAGUUGGAUCUGCGUGACCAGGGUCCGGUCCAGCCCAGUGCUGCGUACUGGUACCCGUCACUUACCACUGCUGGUCUUGUCCCAAUGCCUUUCAUCGGGUGUUGGUGGCUGGCUAGCGAGUUUACUUUGAAAAAAUUAGAGUGCUCAAAACAGGCGUUGUGCCUGAAUACUUCUGCAUGGAAUAAUGGAAGAGGACCUCAGUUCUGUUUUGUUGGUUUUAAGAGCAUGAGGUAAUGAUUAAGAGGAACAGACGGGGGCAUUCGUAUUCCGACGUUAGAGGUGAAAUUCUUGGAUCGUCGGAAGACGAACAACUGCGAAGGCAUU